RNAcentral lists this small nuclear RNA (21 nucleotides) under Arabidopsis thaliana (thale cress). RNAcentral's name for it is "snRNA_12948". Lineage: Eukaryota; Viridiplantae; Streptophyta; Magnoliopsida; Brassicales; Brassicaceae. The record is from RNAcentral.
UAUAUCUAGUGCGUCAUGAGU